UAUUAGAGAGGAGGGUAAAUACGAUAUUAGAGAGACCUCCUGCCACCUUGCCUGCCGUGUUAUCCAACAAGCCCUGAAGGACGGUGUUAAACUAGGGAACAAAGUUGCAUACCUGGAAUACACGGAGGGUGGAGAGGAGGGACUGAAAGAUUAUAUUCGGUCCAAAAUGUGGAAUCCACUUUAUAGACCUCUAGUGUUCUUACCAUCAGGGAAGGGACAAUAAAGAGGACAACAAUAAAACAAGGACAAGACUGAGGACAAAAAAGGACAAGAAUGGCUCUCACAAGCAUAUAUAUCCCCGUACCCCUGCUGCCUUAAAGAAUAAUUAUAAAUGUUAAAUUAACUGAAAUCUUGUAAU
Long non-coding RNA from Eurytemora carolleeae, 358 nucleotides. RefSeq lists it as uncharacterized. The record is from RefSeq and is a predicted model, not a curated record. Lineage: Eukaryota; Metazoa; Arthropoda; Copepoda; Calanoida; Temoridae. The transcript is spliced from 3 exons.